This 322-nucleotide RNase P RNA is filed under the name marine eukaryotic metagenome. RNAcentral describes it as "Bacterial RNase P class A". It matches the Rfam family "Bacterial RNase P class A". From Rfam's summary of the family: Ribonuclease P (RNase P) is a ubiquitous endoribonuclease, found in archaea, bacteria and eukarya as well as chloroplasts and mitochondria. The record is from RNAcentral.
AGUUAGUUAUGCAGUCGCUAUGUUUAUCAUAGAGGAAAGUCCGGGCUCCAGGGAUAAAAGCGCCAGGUAACUCCUGGAAGACGUGAGUUUUGGAAAGUGCUGCAGAAAAUAACCGCCUAUUAUUAGGUAAGGGUGAAAAGGUAGGGUAAGAGCCUACCGCUGCUGAGGCAACAAAGCAGGCAUAAGUAAACCCCGCUUGGAGCAAGGCAAAUUUGUGAUUAAUCCCAAGACAAUCACAUGGUUGCUGCUAAUGAGAUUAUUGGUGACAAUAAUCCGAGAUAAAUGGCUGCACGCGACAGAACCCGGCUUAUCGACUAACUCU